AUAUCAAUAAGCGGAGGAAAAGAAACCAACAGGGAUUGCCUCAGUAACGGCGAGUGAAGCGGCAACAGCUCAAAUUUGAAAUCUGGCUCACGCCCGAGUUGUAAUUUGUAGAGGAUGUUUCGGGUGAAGCCGCGGUCCAAGUCCCUUGGAACAGGACGUCAUAGAGGGUGAGAACCCCGUACCUGGCCGCCGGUGCCCCCCGCUGUGAAACUCCUUCGACGAGUCGAGUUGUUUGGGAAUGCAGCUCUAAAUUGGUGGUAAAUUCCAUCUAAAGCUAAAUACCGGCCAGAGACCGAUAGCGCACAAGUAGAGUGAUCGAAAGAUGAAAAGCACUUUGAAAAGAGAGUUAAAAAGUAC
Molecule: ribosomal RNA, 357 nt
Filed under: uncultured fungus
Lineage: Eukaryota; Fungi
Description: eukaryotic LSU rRNA
Rfam family: Eukaryotic large subunit ribosomal RNA
Source: RNAcentral